ACGUAGGGGGCAAGCGUUAUCCGGAUUUACUGGGUGUAAAGGGAGCGUAGACGGCACGGCAAGCCAGAUGUGAAAGCCCGGGGCUCAACCCCGGGACUGCAUUUGGAACUGCUGGGCUAGAGUGUCGGAGAGGCAAGUGGAAUUCCUAGUGUAGCGGUGAAAUGCGUAGAUAUUAGGAGGAACACCAGUGGCGAAGGCGGCUUGCUGGACGAUGACUGACGUUGAGGCUCGAAAGCGUGGGGAGCAAACAG
RNAcentral lists this ribosomal RNA (251 nucleotides) under uncultured bacterium. RNAcentral describes it as "partial 16S ribosomal RNA". It matches the Rfam family "Bacterial small subunit ribosomal RNA", at positions 525 to 775 of the family's 1533-position model. The record is from RNAcentral.